RNAcentral lists this long non-coding RNA (3493 nucleotides) under Vigna radiata. RNAcentral's name for it is "long non-coding RNA (VRAD_LNC015196)". Lineage: Eukaryota; Viridiplantae; Streptophyta; Magnoliopsida; Fabales; Fabaceae. The record is from RNAcentral.
ACUCCCAAAUGCAUCCUUCUUAUUAUUAAUUAGUGACUAUUGAUAAGUUGAUGCUUUCAAUUCUUUUUAUCAGAGAAUGAGACAUUUAAAUGGCCAACCAAUUUACAACAUCUAGACUUGAGUUCAAACCGUUUGAGCAACAAAUCUCUUUCAUCUCUGAAUGACCUUCCACAUCUCCAAUAUCUUGAUUUAAGUCAAAAUCAAUUAGAAGGAGCACUAGANAUAAGAGGUAGGUAUUUUUUAUCCAUUAUUUUAGGACAUUCAUUAUUUAUUCUAAUGUUUUAGAAUUAAUAUUUAAUUAUUCAUUUACUUUGCAUAAUGAUACAACAUUAUAGAUAUAUUAGGGUAAAUUAAUAUAAACAUCCAUAUCAAUAGAAAUAUAAUUUAUAUUCAUGUAAACAUAUUCUUUUUACAUCAAUAACACUCUCAUCUCAACAAUUACAUUUUCAUACCAAACAAAUUGCACAAAAAAAUUUACUAUUGAAUUACUUUCAUCUAAGAUAUAUCAGAAAUAACAUUGUAGGCUUAACUUUCUCAAUUAUUAAGAAUAAAAUAUACUUUAAUCCAUUAUCAUUUCUAUAUAAUGAAUUAUGUUUAUUAAUAAGAAACAUAAAGAUCUAUGCACGCUCCUUAUCCUUAGUGAAUAUUGAUAAGUUGAUGUUUUCAAUUUUAUUUUUAUCAGAGAAUGAGACAUUUAAAUGGCCAACCAAUUUACAACAUCUAGAACUGGGUGAAAACAGUUUGAGCAACGAAUUUCUUUCAUCUCUGAUGGGCCUUCCACGUCUCCAGUUUCUUGAUUUAAGCGACAAUCAAUUACAAGGAAGUGGUCAGUAUUUUUAUUUAUUAUUUUAUUAGAACAUUAAAUAAAAAUAUAGUGAUUAUAGAUAAGUUGAUGCUUUCAGUUUUGUUUUAUGAGUGAAUUGACUCAUAACCACAUGUUUCCAUUUUGUUUUUAUCAGAGAAUGAGACAAUUAAAUGACCAACCAAUUUACAACAUCUUGAACUGAAUUCAAACCGUUUGACCAAUAGAAUUCAAAAUUUAAUUACUUUAAAACAAAAUCAAAUCUUUUAUUUUAAGUUAUGUUAUAUUUUCUACUAUCUUUUAGAAGAUCACUUUUGAUUGGAAAAAGAUUAAUAUUUGAAAGAAAAAAAGUUUAGAAAUUAGAUGAAGAAAAAAAUAAUUAUAAAGAGAUAGUAAAAUUCGGAAAUUUAUAUACUUAACAUAAUUAGAACUUUGAUUUUUGUUAUUUUUAAAACCAUUUCUACUAAACAUCAAAACAAAUCUUAGAAUCAAUAUAUAAAGUAGUUGCUCUUUAUUGAGAUUAACAUUUAUACAAUGCUAACGUACGUAAGAAAAUCUAUUUAAUCCAUCAAGUGAUAUAUCAUGGUUAAUUUUAUUUUUAAGAUAAUCAAUAUUUCAAAAGUCCAUAAAUUACAACACAACUAUUUAUAUCAUAAAACAAAAGUAUUACACUCUUAUAUAAACGAUCGAUUUAUUUAUUCAUUAUAAGAAAAGCUUAUAUUAGGAUUGCGUUUCCACUUUAUAUGGACUAUAUUUUUAUUAUAUUUGCAUCAUUCAUCUUUUAAAUUUUGAAUUGUGAGUGAAACUAAAUUUCAUUAAAAUUAUGUUUCAAUUUUAUUUAAAAUAUUUGUGUUAUGUUUUAAUUCGAUUUUGAAUUAUGUUUGAUUCAAUUUGAUGAAUUAUGUUUUGAAUAAAUUUAUUUUUUAUUUGACUUAUGUUUAAAUUUAGGCUUAAUACCUCCUGUGGUUCUUGUAUUUGUGUGAAAAUCUCAGUUCGGUCCUCAAGUUUUGAAGUGUCUCAAUUGGGUCAUAAUUUUUGUAAAAAUGCACACAUUUUACCCCAACCGUUAACUGAUCUCAAACGGCGUUAAGUUUAGCUGACGUGGUAUGUUGACGUGUUGGCUUAAUCACUUCUUGGUUCUCGUAUUUGUGUGAAAAUCUCAGUUCGGUCCUCAAGUUUUGAACUGUCUCAAUUGGGUCAUUAUUUUUGUAAAAAUGCACACAUUUUACCCCAAUCGUUAACUGAUCUCAAACGGCGUUAAGUUUAGUUGACAUGGUAGCCAGAGGACAUGCUGACGUGUAUUAUUUAAUUAUAUGAAUUAUUUUUUCAAAUAAGCAGUGUUUCACGUGGCACAAUGCCUAUUAUUUAGUUUAUUUGAAUUAGGAUUUUACACAGAUUAUCUCGUCGGCUCAAAAAAUAAAGUCACCGGAAAACUCACGUAACCAGUGCAAUCAGUCUCACAGCCUUUUCUUCAAAUGAACCAACUUCGUAACCUAUAGGUUCAUCACUAGCCUUUAAGCUAUUUAUUCCACUGAUAGCAGAAGAUAAUUGUUACACAGUGAGAUCAGUUAGCGAUUAGGGUAAAAUGUGUGCAUUUUUACAAAAAUUAUGACCCAAUUGAGACAGUUAAAAACUUGAAGAUCAAACUGAUAUUUUCACACAAAUACGAGGAUCAAGGGAGGUAUUAAACCUUAAAUUUAAUCUAAAUUAUUAUAUAUGACUAGAUAACAUUGUAUUAGAUAUUAUAUAGUGCAAAGAGAUAAAUAAUAUUGAUGGUCUGAAUAAUUUUUUCGUUCUAAUUAAUUACUGAUGAAAUUGGUUUUGGAAGUAGAUAAUGCGAAAUUUUACACCUAGGUAAUAUUAGCAAUUAAUAUGUCCAAUGUUAAUUUAUAUCCAAUGAUGACCGUCUCGGGCAUAAAAUCAAUAUAUAAAAUAUAAAUAAAUAUAAAUGUUAAACUGUAUUAAAAGUUUACUAUCAAUUAGAAAUAAAAUCAAUAUAUAAUAUAUAAUAUAUAAAUAAAUAUAAGUGUUAGUGGACUCUCAUCCCUCAACUCUUUAUAUUUAAGACACAGUGGAUUAAGUUGGAAAUCAAUUAAUAGUAGGGCUCCAUAUACUUUCCAUAUUACAAAUCUUUAUCAUUUGUUUUUUUUUAUUAGAAAGUAUAUCUAACAGCAUAUAUAAAUGAUUAGAUAUUUCAAAAUUGAGUUAUUUGGAGGUCCUUGACUUAGGAGAGAACUACUUGAAUGAGUUUGAAAUUAUAUUGUGGUAUUCUUGUAAUUAGUAUUUGAUAUUAUUUUAUAUUUAAACAAGAUAUCACUUACUUUGAACAUUAGCAUUGCAUCUCCUUAUUAUUAAUUAGUGUGAUUACUGAUAAGUUGAUGCUUUCAAUUUUGUUUUUAUUAGAGAAUGAGACAUUUAAAUGGCCAACCAAUUUACAAUAUCUAGACUUGAGUUCAAACCGUUUGAGCAACAAAUCUCUUUCAUCUCUGAAUGACCUUCCACAUCUCCAAUAUCUUGAUUUAAGUCAAAAUCAAUUAGAAGGAGCACUAGACAUAAGAGGUAGGUAUUUUUUAUCCAUUAUUUUAGGACAUUCAUUAUUUAUUCUAAUGUUUUAGAAUUAAUAUUUAAUUAUUCAUUUACUUUGCAUAAUGAUACAACAUUAUAGAUAUAUUAGGGUAAAUUAAUAUAAAC